AUCGAGCUGGGUAUGUUUGGAAACCUACAGAACAGUAGCCACAGAAAGACUAUGUGAGACAGAGUCCUAGCCUAUCUGUGCGGCCAGUCGAACCUCAUGUGUUUGCUGCUUUCAUUUCCCCUUGGCUCAGGAAACGAUGGUUUGGUUUUGCAAAGGAAGGCUGGGGACUUCUGCCAGCUUGCUAACAGCCUUGCCCCAUUCAGAUGCAUCGAACUCACAGAACAUCACUCCCCAGCUGCCGGCCCGCGGUUCGGAGAGUGCCUGAAUAGAAAACCACUCAUUUCCCUUCGCAAAAGAGGCGCCCAAAGCAGAUAUUUCAAUAUAUUCCAAUUUAGCCGAGGGAAGCCAGAACAUGGAUGUUGUUGCCAAGGAAACCACCUCGUCCUCCUGUGUGCUGUGCAUACGUGUAUCACUUCAUCUCUCUGCUCUCCAAGGCUGCUGAUCUUGAGCACCCAUGCUGAAGCAAUCCUCCAGCCUCAGCCUCUUGAGCAGGUAGGUGUGUGCCACCAUGCUAUUUUGCCAUUAUUUCUUAGGAAAAAAAUUAUUCUGUCUUAUUCCUCUCCUUCCUUCUGGCACUCCAGUUAUGCAUAUAUUAGAUCUCUGAUGUUAGACACUGUUCAUUUUUUUAUUCCCCCUUCCCAUCCCUCUUUUUUUUUGAUUAAAUGGCUUCUGUUGAUCAAAUUAAAGCUCACAGAUAGUUACUUGUCAUCUUCAUUCUGUGUUUUUUUUUUUGAGAUGGAGUGGCAUGAUCUCAGCUCCCUGCAACCUCUACCUCCUGGAGUCAAGUGACUCUCCUGCCUCAGCCUUCUGAGUAGCUGGGAGUAUAGGCAUGUGUGACCAUGCCUAGCUAGUUUUUUGUAUUUUUAGUAGAGACAGGGUUUCACUAUGUUGGCCAGGGUGGUCUCGAACUCUUGACCUCAGUGAUCUGCCUGCCUGGGCCUCCCAAACUGCUGGGAUUACAGAUGUGAGCCAGCACCCCCAGCCAUCUUUAUUCUGUUUUAAACCCAUACAGUAAUUGUUUAAAAUAGUCCAGGUAUUGUAAUUUUUAGUACUGGAAUUUCCACUUGAUUCUUUCUAUGUUUUUAUUUCUCUUUAGA
RNAcentral lists this long non-coding RNA (1097 nucleotides) under Callithrix jacchus (white-tufted-ear marmoset). RNAcentral describes it as "lncRNA (ENSCJAG00000085916.1)". The record is from RNAcentral. Lineage: Eukaryota; Metazoa; Chordata; Mammalia; Primates; Cebidae.